AGCGAACGCUGGCGGCAGGCUUAACACAUGCAAGUCGAGCGGGCAUCCUCGGGGUGUCAGCGGCAGACGGGUGAGUAACGCGUGGGAACGUGCCCUUCGGUUCGGAAUAACUCUGGGGAACUUUUCCUAAAACCGGAUACGUUCGCGAGCAGAAGGGUUUGUCUGCCGUAGGAUCGGCCCGCGUCUGAUUAGCUAGUUGGUGAGGUUACGGCUCACCACGGCUACGAUCAGUAGCUGGUCAGAGAGGCUGCUCAGCCACACUGGGACUGCGACACGGCCCAGACUCCUACGGGAGGCAGCAGUGGGGUAUAUUGGACAAUGGGGCCAACCCUGAUACAGCCGUGCCGCGUGAGUGAUGACGGCCGUAGGGUUGUAAAUCCCUUUUUGCCGGGACGAUAAUGACGGUACCGGGGGAAUAAGCCCCGGCUAACUUCGUG
RNAcentral lists this ribosomal RNA (437 nucleotides) under uncultured bacterium. RNAcentral's name for it is "partial 16S ribosomal RNA". It matches the Rfam family "Bacterial small subunit ribosomal RNA", at positions 29 to 507 of the family's 1533-position model. The record is from RNAcentral.